GUAUUGCUGCUAGAGCAGGAGGAAUACUGUCUGUAUCUCAUCCUCUGGUCCUGGAAACAUGGCACAGGGAGGAAGAAUUGGGCACGAUGCGAACUGCAUUCAAUUCCUUCAUCAACCAAGCCAACGUAAUGAAUGGUUAAUUUGAAAAUACUUGGCAAGGGGGAUGAGAGUUUUAUUUCAAGAGACCCCCAAACAGGCAAAAUCUGGAUUUUAGAUUUGAAGGGUGAAAGAGCCCAGAGUCCGAAGGAAAAAUACGUGAUAGCACGAUCGUAAAAAAAUCUCCUAAUGCACAAUAAAUGCAUUCCUUUCUCUGCAUUCUAACUACAGUGCAUUCUUCUUGAAAGGUUUGAAGCAGGUUUUAAAGACUGAUUAAGAGGAAAUUCGGUAAUCAUUGACCAUCAUUUGUGUCUGUGCAGGUGAGAUGAAAAGGAAUUGGAAGAGGAGAGAAAAUAAAGAGAAAGGCAAGCCAGAAGUGCACUCUGUCCUAAAAACAAUCGGACUCCUACUGCAGAAUCACCCACAUUUUGGGUCAAGCUGACUGAAUUCUGCAGCUUCUAUAAAUGUUGAAAAAUUGCGCAAUUGAGGAAUUUGUUUCUGAUCUCCCAAAUGCGGGGAUGAGCUAUGAGGUUGUUGUAAAUCAAAUUAUCUACGGCCUCUAAGCUAGCCUCUCUCAAACUUGGGUUCCCUGGUAUUUGUUGGACUACAACUCCCAUCAUUCCUUACCACUGGUCUUCAUAGCUAGGGAUGAUGGGAGUUGUAGUCCGAUAACAUCUGGGGACCCAGAUUUGAGAAAAGCUGCAAGUACUGG
Podarcis raffonei (Aeolian wall lizard) is the source of this 808-nucleotide long non-coding RNA. RefSeq lists it as uncharacterized. The record is from RefSeq and is a predicted model, not a curated record. NCBI's taxonomy places the organism in Eukaryota, Metazoa, Chordata, Lepidosauria, Squamata, Lacertidae. The transcript has 3 exons.